AGCAGUAGGGAAUCUUCCACAAUGGGCGAAAGCCUGAUGGAGCAACGCCGCGUGGGUGAAGAAGGUCUUCGGAUCGUAAAACCCUGUUGUUAGAGAAGAAAGUGCGUGAGAGUAACUGUUCACGUUUCGACGGUAUCUAACCAGAAAGCCACGGCUAACUACGUGCCAGCAGCCGCGGUAAUACGUAGGUGGCAAGCGUUAUCCGGAUUUAUUGGGCGUAAAGGGAACGCAGGCGGUCUUUUAAGUCUGAUGUGAAAGCCUUCGGCUUAACCGGAGUAGUGCAUUGGAAACUGGGAGACUUGAGUGCAGAAGAGGAGAGUGGAACUCCAUGUGUAGCGGUGGAAU
Molecule: ribosomal RNA, 345 nt
Filed under: Ligilactobacillus apodemi
Lineage: Bacteria; Bacillati; Bacillota; Bacilli; Lactobacillales; Lactobacillaceae
Description: bacterial SSU rRNA
Rfam family: Bacterial small subunit ribosomal RNA
Source: RNAcentral